RNAcentral lists this unclassified non-coding RNA (306 nucleotides) under plant metagenome. RNAcentral describes it as "partial contains 5.8S ribosomal RNA, internal transcribed spacer 2, and large subunit ribosomal RNA". The stretch from base 1 to 105 matches the Rfam family "5.8S ribosomal RNA", at positions 50 to 154 of the family's 154-position model. The record is from RNAcentral.
GAAAUGCGAUAAGUAAUGUGAAUUGCAGAAUUCAGUGAAUCAUCGAAUCUUUGAACGCACAUUGCACCCGCCAGUAUUCUGGCGGGCAUGCCUGUCCGAGCGUCAUUUCAACCAUCAAGCCCCCGGGCUUGUGUUGGGGACCUGCGGCUGCCCGCAGGCCCUGAAAUCCAGUGGCGGGCUCGCUGUCACACCGAGCGUAGUAGCAAUCACCUCGCUCAGGGCGUGCUGCGGGUUCCGGCCGUUAAACAGCCUUACAAAACCCAAGGUUGACCUCGGAUCAGGUAGGAAGACCCGCUGAACUUAAGC